GCCGAAGUGGCGGAACUGGUAGACGCGCACGACUCAAAAUCGUGUAGGGCAACCCCCUGUGAGAGUUCGAGUCUCUCCUUCGGCA
This 85-nucleotide transfer RNA is filed under the name Candidatus Buchananbacteria bacterium RIFCSPHIGHO2_02_FULL_45_11b. Its description in RNAcentral is "tRNA-Leu". It matches the Rfam family "tRNA". From Rfam's summary of the family: Transfer RNA (tRNA) molecules are approximately 80 nucleotides in length. Their secondary structure includes four short double-helical elements and three loops (D, anti-codon, and T loops). The record is from RNAcentral. Lineage: Bacteria; Candidatus Buchananiibacteriota. RNAcentral also lists the same sequence under 2 other names.